Molecule: ribosomal RNA, 238 nt
Filed under: uncultured bacterium
Lineage: Bacteria
Description: partial 16S ribosomal RNA
Rfam family: Bacterial small subunit ribosomal RNA
Source: RNAcentral
CGGCGGACGGGUGAGUAACGCGUGGGUAACCUACCCUGUACACACAGAUAACAUACCGAAAGGUACGCUAAUACGGGAUAAUAUAUUUGAGAGGCAUCUCUUGAAUAUCAAAGGUGAGCCAGUACAGGAUGGACCCGCGUCUGAUUAGCUAGUUGGUAAGGUAACGGCUUACCAAGGCGACGAUCAGUAGCCGACCUGAGAGGGUGAUCGGCCACAUUGGAACUGAGACACGGUCCAA